This 460-nucleotide ribosomal RNA is filed under the name uncultured bacterium. RNAcentral describes it as "partial 16S ribosomal RNA". It matches the Rfam family "Bacterial small subunit ribosomal RNA", at positions 338 to 795 of the family's 1533-position model. The record is from RNAcentral.
CCUACGGGGUGCAGCAGUGGGGAAUAUUGCACAAUGGACGAGAGUCUGAACCAGCCAAGUAGCGUGAAGGAUGACUGCCCUAUGGGUUGUAAACUUCUUUUAUAUGGGAAUAAAACGUUCCACGUGUGGGAUUUUGUAUGUACCAUAUGAAUAAGGAUCGGCUAACUCCGUGCCAGCAGCCGCGGUAAUACGGAGGAUCCGAGCGUUAUCCGGAUUUAUUGGGUUUAAAGGGAGCGUAGGUGGAUUGUUAAGUCAGUUGUGAAAGUUUGCGGCUCAACCGUAAAAUUGCAGUUGAAACUGGCAGUCUUGAGUACAGUAGAGGUGGGCGGAAUUCGUGGUGUAGCGGUGAAAUGCUUAGAUAUCACGAAGAACUCCGAUUGCGAAGGCAGUUCACUGGACUGCAACUGACACUGAGGCUCGAAAGUGUGGGUAUCAAACAGGAUUAGAUACCCGGGUAGUC